This 331-nucleotide unclassified non-coding RNA is filed under the name soil metagenome. Its description in RNAcentral is "partial contains 5.8S ribosomal RNA, internal transcribed spacer 2, and large subunit ribosomal RNA". The stretch from base 1 to 118 matches the Rfam family "5.8S ribosomal RNA", at positions 35 to 154 of the family's 154-position model. The record is from RNAcentral.
GAUGAAACGUAGCGAAAUGCGAUAAGUAAUGUGAAUUGCAGAAUUCAGUGAAUCAUCGAAUCUUUGAACGCACAUUGCGCCCGCCAGUAUUCUGGCGGGCAUGCCUGUUCGAGCGUCAUUUCAACCAUCAAGCCCUGCUUGCGUUGGGGUCCUGCGGCUGCCCGCAGGCCCUGAAAACCAGUGGCGGGCUCGCUAGUCACACCGAGCGCAGUAAUACAUCUCGCUUUGGGCGUGCGGCGGGUUCUUGCCGUUAAACACCCCCUUUUUACCAAGGUUGACCUCGGAUCAGGUAGGAAUACCCGCUGAACUUAAGCAUAUCAAAAGCGGAGGA